CUAGGACUAGAAGACAUCAAAUGAAGAUGAAUGUUGGCAGAUUGGGCUCUGCCACCUCCUCUUCCUGCGGAGUCCCUUCUACUGGUUGGUUGAAGACUCCCUCCAUUCCCCAUGAGGCUCUGCUCUCUGCAGGAGGGGCAAUGAAGAGAGCCAUUAGUUCUGAUUCCCCAUCUUUAGUGUCAUAAGAGCUUGGCCUUGGCAGGAGCAACAAAGUACAAGUCUUGGAUUGUAGUAUCAUAGGAAGCUGGGCUCAUGGUUUGUCUCCCCCAGACAAACUACAUACUGUUAAGACAAGAACAAGUGUUGAUUACUGUUUACCGUUCUUUGGAGAGAAGCAAACUACAGCUACCCAAUUCCUGCAGGGUGAGAAUGUUAUAACUAUGAAAAAUGAACCAGCUCAUGCCAGGUACCCUGUGAGAGUUGUGGAAGAACUGACAGAAAAACACUUUAAAUCAACACUGCAAAUGCGGGAUUAGAAUGAAAAGCUGGAAUUCCUAGCAGCCUUGUUGUAGGACCUGGGGAAACCAGCAAAGAAUACCUCCAGAACCUUUGCAUAGAAAACAGUACCCCUGAGCUGUGCGAAAUUUGCCUCUGGACAAGACUUUCUAAUUCUGAACAGAGGGAGCCAUGGAAGCUCACAUUUAAUUACACAAGUCAUUAAAAUGGAUUGAAAUCUG
This is a long non-coding RNA of Podarcis raffonei (Aeolian wall lizard), 677 nucleotides long. RefSeq lists it as uncharacterized. The record is from RefSeq and is a predicted model, not a curated record. The transcript is spliced from 5 exons. Lineage: Eukaryota; Metazoa; Chordata; Lepidosauria; Squamata; Lacertidae.